GAUGAACACUAGCGGCAGGCUUAAUACAUGCAAGUCGAGGGGCAGCAGGUCUGUAGCAAUACAGACGCUGGCGACCGGCAAACGGGUGCGGAACACGUACAGAACCUUCCUUCGAGCGGGGAAUAGCCCAGAGAAAAUUGGAUUAAUACCCCAUAGUAUAUUGAAGAGGCAUCUCUUUAAUAUUAAAGAUUUAUCACUUGAAGAUGGCUGUGCGGCUGAUUAGUUAGUUGGCGGGGUAACGGCCCACCAAGCCGGCGAUCAGUAACUGGUGGGAGAGCACCACAAUUACAAGGGGGACUGAGAGACAGGCCCGAGUCCUAAGGGAGGCAGCAGUGAAGAAUGUUGGUCAAUGGACGCAAGUCUGAUCCAGCCAUGCCACGUGGAGGAUGGAGGUCCUCUGGAUUGUAAACUUCUUUUAUCUGGGAAGAAAAAGGGUCUUUCUAGAUCAACUGACGGUACCAGAUGAAUAAGCACCGGCUAACUCCGUGCCAGCCGCCGCCGUAA
Molecule: ribosomal RNA, 504 nt
Filed under: uncultured bacterium
Lineage: Bacteria
Description: partial 16S ribosomal RNA
Rfam family: Bacterial small subunit ribosomal RNA
Source: RNAcentral